Molecule: small nuclear RNA, 161 nt
Organism: Sorex araneus (European shrew)
Lineage: Eukaryota; Metazoa; Chordata; Mammalia; Eulipotyphla; Soricidae
Product: U1 spliceosomal RNA
Exons: 1
Source: RefSeq, a predicted model, not a curated record
AUAGUUUCCUGGUUGGGGAGAUACAGUAUUGCAAAGAUGGCUUUCCCAGGGAGGGACUAUCUAUUGCACUCAGGAUGAACUGACCCCUGUCAUUUCCCCAAAUGUGGGAAACUGGACUGCCCAACUGUGGUAGUGGGGGACUGUAUCUCUGCUUUCUCCUG